Molecule: long non-coding RNA, 652 nt
Organism: Diospyros lotus (date-plum)
Lineage: Eukaryota; Viridiplantae; Streptophyta; Magnoliopsida; Ericales; Ebenaceae
Exons: 3
Source: RefSeq, a predicted model, not a curated record
UAACCAUAACGUACUCUCUCUCUCUCUCUCUCUCUCUCUCUCUCGGUUUAGGGUUUAAAAUUUUCGUAAGACGAAGUUAGGGUUUGGAAUUCCUUACAAGUGAGAGCAAUUCCUUUCGCAUCCAUCGGCCGAAUAAGGAGAAGAGAGGAGGAAGGUGUUCAAACGAAGAACGGAAUUUAAGGUUUCAGAUUGAUUGAAGGCCGGUUGCUUCUGAAGAGGUCAAACCAAUUGGUCGGUUGUCUAGGCUAACCACAGAGGAAGAGUUGGCAUGGAUUCGGAGGCGGCCGCCGGCGGAGAACCGGCGGCGAGGUGGGGGAUCUGGUGGCCGGGCAGAAGUACUUUGAGUGCCACAUGCACGGUGGCCGGAACGGUUCAAGAAAGCCUGUGGAAAUUGUUGACCUUCUCUCUUGUCCCUAAAAUUUCUUUUGGUUUAGGGACUCUUUUAUCAGCACAGCUGAAGGAAAGGUUAUGCUGGCUUAUUGUAUUCACUGUACUCUCUGACCAGGAUAAAGAGGUCACUGUGAAUAUGGUUAAGUCACUCAAUCAGAGUGGUCGAGCCUGCUGUGUUCUCUCUGCCAGUGAUCCAGGUUCUUCUGUUGAUUUGUGACCAGAUAGUUCCUUUGGCGCCGUUACCUUAAGAUACGAGGCAUGA